RNAcentral lists this small nuclear RNA (107 nucleotides) under Eurypyga helias (sunbittern). Lineage: Eukaryota; Metazoa; Chordata; Aves; Eurypygiformes; Eurypygidae. The record is from RNAcentral.
UUGCUUGGUUUGGCAGCACAUGUACUAAAAUUGGAAUGAAACAGAGAAGAUUAGCAUGGCCCCUGCACAAGGAUGACAUGCAAAUAUGUGAAGUGUUCCAUAUUUAU